AUUGAACGCUGGCGGCAGGCCUAACACAUGCAAGUCGAGCGGAUGAAGGGAGCUUGCUCCUGGAUUCAGCGGCGGGCGGGUGAGUAAUGCCUAGGAAUCUGCCUGGUAGUGGGGGAUAACGUCCGGAAACGGGCGCUAAUACCACAUACGUCCUGAGGGAGAAAGUGGGGGAUCUUCGGACCUCACGCUAUCAGAUGAGCCUAGGUCGGAUUAGCUAGUUGGUGGGGUAAAGGCCUACCAAGGCGACGAUCCGUAACUGGUCUGAGAGGAUGAUCAGUCACACUGGAACUGAGACACGGUCCAGACUCCUACGGGAGGCAGCAGUGGGGAAUAUUGGACAAUGGGCGAAAGCCUGAUCCAGCCAUGCCGCGUGUGUGAAGAAGGUCUUCGGAUUGUAAAGCACUUUAAGUUGGGAGGAAGGGCAGUAAGUUAAUACCUUGCUGUUUUGACGUUACCAACAGAAUAAGCACCGGCUAACUUCGUG
This 484-nucleotide ribosomal RNA is filed under the name uncultured bacterium. Its description in RNAcentral is "partial 16S ribosomal RNA". It matches the Rfam family "Bacterial small subunit ribosomal RNA", at positions 30 to 507 of the family's 1533-position model. The record is from RNAcentral.